This is a long non-coding RNA of Gadus macrocephalus (Pacific cod), 282 nucleotides long. RefSeq lists it as uncharacterized. The record is from RefSeq and is a predicted model, not a curated record. Lineage: Eukaryota; Metazoa; Chordata; Actinopteri; Gadiformes; Gadidae. The transcript has 2 exons.
GCUGCUGUGUUGUUCCCACCAGAACACAAGAAUCAAUACUCAGUUUAAAGUCAUCACAACAUGAUCAACAGCCUUUCCCAGACCGCUUGCAUGAUGAAUAUAAUAUUAAAUCUGCUUUAAAUCAGGUUCCAUGUUAGGCUUAAAAAGGCUCAAAAUAUAAACUGAUAUCAGAGCCGUGCCGUAUGAAACUGUUAACGUCUGAAAACAUACACAGUAUUGUAGUAUAAACAUGUUUAGAUUUACCAUCAAUCAAUAAUUAAAAUACAUUUGAAAUUAGAAAAA